This is a long non-coding RNA of Dermacentor albipictus, 1513 nucleotides long. RefSeq lists it as uncharacterized. NCBI's taxonomy places the organism in Eukaryota, Metazoa, Arthropoda, Arachnida, Ixodida, Ixodidae. The record is from RefSeq and is a predicted model, not a curated record.
CUUGAGAUGAACUCGGCUGUCGGCGGCGGCGGCGGGACUUUUCUCGUGGAGUGCAGACGAACUGACCGCGUUUACACUGAACCGAGCCUGGGCGCUGCCACCGAAGACUUUUGUUUUUGUUUGUUUGUUUGAGUGGCUUGUUCUUGGGAGUACCUGGCGCGGACAUUCCGCGCGAAAUCGUCGGUGGAUCUUGCUGGCAGGUCGUAUUCACUAAGUAUGGGUCUAGUCAGAGAUAUAGUUUUUUACAGAAUGACCAUACUUGCGUCUGAUGGCGUUAUUUUUGUGCAUGCUAAGAUGUCGCUGGUCAUGUGCGUCAUGCAGCCAGGGGAAUGUGAUAUUUUUUUUUUUUUUGCCCCUGGCCGCUCGGAAAAAAAGCAGUCGUGUGGCUGCUAAUUGUAUGGGUGGUUGUAUGUUAAGAAAUUGGCUCGGCGAUCAUUUGUUCGACAUUCCGCGUCAUGUGUACAUUCAUGUAUAAAAAUUCAUACGCACCGUAUCGUGCCAGUUAACGUCACUUGCGGUUGGAGCACGUUGCCAACUUCGUAACACUUUCGACGCCCUGUAAUCGCCGGUCGUGUCGGUGGAGCCACAUUCCAUUGUUCACCCAUAUGGUGCCGACGGAGCUGUUAAUAGUAUGCGAGGACAUUUGAUGUGGCGAGAGUGACGCUUGCCAUUUUUCCCGCUCAGGAUUCGACAUCAGAAAUGGACGCGACAGCGCCUUGAGUAUUCUGCGAGACCAGUGCUAAGCACUGCCCUGGCAUGAAUGCACUGUUGCGCGAAGAAUGAUAUUUGCCCCACCCUUUAGCGCGGCAUGUUAAGGGCGUAGAACAUGGGGCCACCCAGCAAGUGAUAAAAGCUGGCUCCCAAGACUCGUUCCGUGCUAUCGUACGCCUGCCAGGAAGAUCCACCGGCUACAAGCUUUGUGAAUGCUCAUGUAACUUCAUCUCCGUCGUUUGUAAACACCCGGUUCCUAUUCGAACUCUUUCCGUCUUAGUAUAGUCUUCUUCGUCCACGUAGUGUUUUCCUCUGUCUGAAAAAGUCAUUGUCUACUACUACAAAAACAAAAUGGGUUAAAAAAAAGUUUUUUUAUAUAGUUUUUUUUUUACAUUUUGCACUCUGAUUUGAAUUUGGCUCAUCUCAUGGUCGAAAAUUUUCUCUCUCUCUCUCUUUCAUGCCCCCAAUAACCCUUCCCCCUUUUCCAAGGGCCCCUUCGGGGGCCCGCCAGUGGUGUCCGGCGGAAGCAGAGCUGCGCUGCGAUUCUCCUCCUGACCCUCAUGCACUCAAUGUGCACUGGGCCUGAAGAGUGCUUUCGAGCACAGUGCCCGAAGCAAGAAGCCUAACUGCCUGGACCGAAGGCGAAGCCAUCGCAAGUUCUGCGUAGUUGAGAUCAAAGAACGGCACCUCGCUAGGACUGGCUGGUUUACAGUGCUAGUUCACAAGAUUGCCUGGCGACAGACUACUUUCACGUUCCACCUGCGAUUGGCAGCUGCUGACGGAAAUAAAUGUGAUAUGCUUA